GGAGUUAUGAAAUGUAAGUGCGCUAAUAUCGUGCUUAUUUGACAAAGGCUCCAAAGGAAGCCACGGCUAACUCUGUGCCAGCAGCCGCGGUAAUACAGAGGUGGCGAGCGUUGUUCGGAAUUAUUGGGCGUAAAGAGCACGUAGGUGGGUUUGCAAGUCAGAUGUGAAAGCCUUCUGUUCAACGGAAGAAUUGCAUCUGAAACUGCUAAUCUUGAGUAUAGGAGGGGAGAGUGGAACUUCUGGU
This 244-nucleotide ribosomal RNA is filed under the name uncultured anaerobic ammonium-oxidizing bacterium. RNAcentral's name for it is "partial 16S ribosomal RNA". It matches the Rfam family "Bacterial small subunit ribosomal RNA", at positions 439 to 674 of the family's 1533-position model. The record is from RNAcentral.